Molecule: ribosomal RNA, 253 nt
Filed under: uncultured bacterium
Lineage: Bacteria
Description: partial 16S ribosomal RNA
Rfam family: Bacterial small subunit ribosomal RNA
Source: RNAcentral
UACGUAGGGUGCGAGCGUUAAUCGGAAUUACUGGGCGUAAAGCGUGCGCAGGCGGUGAGCUGUGUCCGAUGUGAAAGCCCCGGGCUUAACCUGGGAAUGGCAUUGGAAACUGGCUCGCUGGAGUGUGGCAGAGGGGGGUGGAAUUCCGCGUGUAGCAGUGAAAUGCGUAGAGAUGCGGAGGAACACCGAUGGCGAGGGCAGCCCCCUGGGCUAACACUGACGCUCAGGCACGAAAGCGUGGGGAGCAAACAGG